Long non-coding RNA from Dermochelys coriacea (leatherback sea turtle), 616 nucleotides. RefSeq lists it as uncharacterized. Lineage: Eukaryota; Metazoa; Chordata; Testudines; Dermochelyidae. The record is from RefSeq and is a predicted model, not a curated record. The transcript has 3 exons.
GGGAGAGAAGAGAAAAUGAACCUUGAACUUUCUUCCAGAAUUAUGAGGGGGAUGGUGUUUGCUAAAGAGUAUGCAAUCUGAAAUUAUUUUAAUGUAAUCCUUGUGUGAUGUCUGAUUAAAAUAUGACCAUGUAGAUCUAGUUAUGAUUAUGCUAUUUGUAUGCAUAUACCAUUUUGGUAUUUGAAGUUAUGACUGUUGGCUCUAUACCUGUAUUUCAAAAUGUUUGCUCCUAGGUAGUCCACAAGGUAGCUAGCCAGCACAUCUUGGAGGGAUUAUUCAAACUUGAGUGGCCCAUCAAAAGAACAUUGAACUCACAAUGGAAGAUGCCAACCUACCCUGAAUAGACUUUCCUGUGAACAUGCUGUUUGAGGGAAACCGGUGCCCUUUGUCACAAUGUUGGCUUAAGAGAGAGCAUUCUAGGAGCUGAUCUGCCAGUUCAUCUAUUGACUUCAAUGGGAGCAGGAGUGGGCCUCCAAGUUGCAGAAUUUGAUGCAGAAUGAUCAACCGCUCAAGCAUAUGUCAAGAUUUUGAGCAUCCUUAUAUGUGGCCCUUAAAGGUCUGUAGGUAUUUCUGUAUUAAAAUCACUCUUGGAAAUUGCUUAUUACUCAACUGCUAA